RNAcentral lists this ribosomal RNA (486 nucleotides) under uncultured bacterium. RNAcentral's name for it is "partial 16S ribosomal RNA". It matches the Rfam family "Bacterial small subunit ribosomal RNA", at positions 30 to 507 of the family's 1533-position model. The record is from RNAcentral.
AUUGAACGCUGGCGGCAUGCCUUACACAUGCAAGUCGAACGGCGGCACGGGUGCUUGCACCUGGUGGCGAGUGGCGAACGGGUGAGUAAUACAUCGGAACAUGUCCUGUAGUGGGGGAUAGCCCGGCGAAAGCCGGAUUAAUACCGCAUACGAUCUACGGAUGAAAGCGGGGGACCUUCGGGCCUCGCGCUAUAGGGUUGGCCGAUGGCUGAUUAGCUAGUUGGUGGGGUAAAGGCCUACCAAGGCGACGAUCAGUAGCUGGUCUGAGAGGACGACCAGCCACACUGGGACUGAGACACGGCCCAGACUCCUACGGGAGGCAGCAGUGGGGAAUUUUGGACAAUGGGCGAAGGCCUGAUCCAGCAAUGCCGCGUGUGUGAAGAAGGCCUUCGGGUUGUAAAGCACUUUUGUCCGGAAAGAAAUCCUUGGCCCUAAUACGGUCGGGGGAUGACGGUACCGGAAGAAUAAGCACCGGCUAACUACGUG